ACCGUCUGGAUGUUCCUCGUUCCUGUCUGCCUUUUUGUCCCCGGUUCUUGCGUGUGUUUUUGCCCGUAGGCCUUUUACUUUGUGGAGUUUUUCACUGUUAGUCUGUUUUUCGUUAAAGUCUGCUUUUGAGUCCUGCCUUCCUACCCAAACCCUGACUAAAUAGUCAUAGUAUGCUGGAACAUGCCAUACAAAUGUAUGUUAUCAUUAAAAGUAUAAAGUAAAAGUAUAAUAUUUUGUUCAAGAAACGGUUUCCAGUUACACAGUAAAUCCUCUCACGUGACGCUAAUCACAAACUUGUAGUCCUCUCCACCCACAUUCUGCAUGUAGAACCUCCACCUCCAGCCUCCAGCAGUGAACAGCAUCCAUCCUGGAGCAGCCAUCGAUGUCUCCGAUGUGUUUCUUGCAGCACUACAAGUAGAUCUCCAACCUCCUGCAGCCUCUGCCUGCACCUUCAAAUACUUGCUCUCAGGCACUGUCUGCACCUCCACCUCUACCUGAAGAUAUUCACUAACCUUUUGCAGAAACAUCCACCGUUUACAAAAUCAACGUACAAAUUCUCUAAUUUUUCAGAGGUUUCAGUUUAUCGACUGACUCAGUCUGGUGAAUAGAAUCUUUUAGAGAACAAACAGAUAAUAAGUGUAAUAAGAGUCUACCGGGCUGCUGGAUUCAAGCUUUUUAUUUUUAAAUAAUAACAAUCAACACACUU
Molecule: long non-coding RNA, 706 nt
Organism: Gasterosteus aculeatus aculeatus (three-spined stickleback)
Lineage: Eukaryota; Metazoa; Chordata; Actinopteri; Perciformes; Gasterosteidae
Source: Ensembl